CGGGGGGUAAGCUGUAAAUUCCCUCCCCCCGCCUCCCUAUCAAUGCCAGGAAAAGUGAAAUUUAGGAAUUGAUCUUUGAAACACCGAACAACUUUCACAAUGGCAACAACAACAGAGGGAUAAAGGCAGCUUCUUAAAAGGGAAACCCGCUCAAUCCGGCCUCUGAACGGGAGUUGGAACUAGAUCCCACGCCCUCAAGUUGCCAGCCCUUCCUAAAUUGCAUCCGUCUAAUCGUUUCCUCUUUUAAAAAAGGAAAAACCCACGCUGAGAUCCGAAUUGGGAGGGUUCGCUUCCCAAGUCAGCCCUGCCCGCCCCUCGAGACAUGAUUUCUACCUAUAUCAAGCCUGGAUCAGCUGAACGCCGAGCUACUUUAGUUCCGUGGCCCCAAAGGCCGAAAUGCUCUUGCGAUGCCUUUCUCUCUCUCCCUCUAUUUCUCCUCCCCGCCCGCUAAGUUUUAAAUUGGAUUAAGCGAGGACUGGCAAUGACCUGGAAGUGCCUCUUCUGCAUAUUUUGGCUCAGAGAAGGCACUUCGUCUGACUAGGGUUAUCUAUUAAUCCUUUUAUUCUCUUCGGAAUGACAUUUUAAUUCCUCUCCAAAAGAACACUCCCUCGGUCACUCAAGCUCUUUACCUGUCCGCCUUCGGGACUCCGGUCAAAAAGAUGGUAUGGCUUUUGGGUUGCCGCCCGCCCCCCCGCUUUCUGGACUCACCUUCAUUUUUUAAAAUCUCUGUUUCGACUUGCAAUGGCCAGAGGAACAAGUCCCUCCGGGUCCGCUCCAGAAAGCGGCCGAUUAAGGGAAGAGUAGCAAAGAAGGUGGAAUCUGGAGGAAAUCGGGGUUUAAAUCCUGAAGGAGACGGACAAACCCGCAAAGGAGCUUGCUAGGGACUCCCGAAGCGGCGUCUUGAAAAAAAUGGAAGGAAAAAAAAAAGCAAAAAGCAAUCCUCCUAAGCUUCUCUCGGGCGACCCAGGGCCGUUCAUUAAAUUGGAAGCGGAGAAGUCCACUUGGUUGAACCUUCCUCGGUGACAGCUCUCCGCAAGGAGGACCGGCUGAAGGGUCGUCCCCGGAUGUCACAUUGCCGACCGCGGCUGGAAAGCGUCGGGGAGAAAAGCUGGAGCUUCGGAUCUAACCGAGGUUUCAAAUUCUUAUUUGGGCAAGGGGAAAAAAAAAGAGGGCGGAAAUCCACCAACUUCCAGGUAAAACUCCCGUCUGCGCCUGCAGCGCCACUGCCGCCGCCGCCGCCGCCGCGGGAAGAGGUGGGUGAGCGAGCUACCGACCGACCGAGAGCGCAGCUACGGAGGGUGUAAACUUUUCUCUCCCCUCCCCUGGCGUCUCUUCAGAGCAGCCCAGUCUGCGCGGGUGUCCUUCCUUUUUCACCUUCCUUCUGCCUCCGCCGCCGUUUUUUUUCUCCCCCCCCCUCCUCCCCGCUUCCCAGGAUUUUUCUCUCACACUCUGCCGCUGGAGCUGGAGCUGGGUCCCGGUUUGCGGGGCUGCUGGAAGAAGCGGGAGGAGGAGGAGGAGGAGAGAGAGGACGAGCGGGAGGGGCAGCCAGCGCUCUCUCUAUCCCCCCCACUUCUCUCCAGGCGUGUCUCGCGGCGAGCGGCGGACGCUCAGAGCCAACGAGAUGGCCUCUCCGCCUCCUUCUUCCCGCCCAUCGGGCUCGAACGGGAAGGGAGAGAGGGAGGCGAGCGCCACACGGACUGCUCGCCACCGGCUUUCCUGUCCAGUGUCUGGCUCAGGCUGAGCGGCUCGGGCUUGGUUUUGCGCACAGGCGGAGAAGGGAGGGAGGGAAACCCAGGAAUCUUCCAGGCCACAGAGCGGACCGAGUCGACUCCCCCCGCCCCCCGUCGUAAGCUGGUGUGGGGAAACGCUGCCGCUACUAGAGAGGCGAAAAGGUGGCUGUCCGCGGCCUUUGCUCUUGGUAACUUCUAUGUGGCCGCUACUUCCCUCCAGCUGCUGCUUUCCCUCCACCUUUGCUCCACUCAGCGACGCACACAACAGGUUUUUGUUUCCUUUUCAACCCUCCUCCUCCCUGCCCGUGUCUAUACACGUGCCGGCUGGAGGUAAAAAAAAAAAGAAAGGAGACGCGGCUCAUAGGCAAAGUUUCUAAAGGCUGCUUUUAGGACCCGGCGCGGAAGAAAUUCGCAGGGCUUAAGUUCUAAAAGAUCCAAGGAGAGGAAUGGUUUUGGUGCCAACCUGUGUUUUUAAGAGUUCGGUUAGAGAAAGUGCGUUUUAUGAGUUGAACUUGAGGUAAAAAAGAGGGAGAGGGAAUAAAGAGGAGGGGUACUGAAAGGGAGGGACAAGGAUAGGAGCCAUCCCUCCCUUAAAACAUUUUUCUCCCAUUUAUGAACGCUUCAAGUUAACAGCUGCUUCUCUUAAAAAGGCAAUGAUGCUUCUCUGUUACCCCAUGUAAAAAUCAGUUUUGUCUUAACUGAUAAUGAGGUCUUUCUUUCCAAAUCCGUUGGACUAAAAAACCUCCAAGGUCCCUUCCAAAUCUGUUAUUCAGUGGUUAUUCUAAUUAUUUGGAAUAUGGUUCCUUAUAUUCUAAUUAUAAGAUGCAUGUAAAUAGCCAAGUGUGUUUGAUGUUCCUCAGAAGUGCAGUUAUUCAUGUUUCUGUUAGGGAACAGUACCACAGGUCGAGUGCAUGACAGCAUGAGUGGAAUUGAGACUUCUUUUCCAUUAUUUUUUUAUAUGAAGUACUUCCAUAUACAGGUCAUCCUCAUUUAGCGGCUGUCUUGGAUAGCAACCAUUCACAAUGAGGAUGCUGAUGGAAAAAAAAGUAACCAAUCCUCACCUUUAAGACCUUCACAGGUUUAUAAAACAAAGGAAAGCCGAAGAUAGCAAGCAUAGUCACAGUUUCACUUAGAGAUCAGUCUUCUUAACAUCUGAGUUGCUGUUCUAAUUGCAGUCACUAAAUAAGGAUUAUUGUACCCUUUCAAAUCACAGCAUCGAUAAAAUAAAAAGGAGGGUGUUGGUGAAAAAAAUUUGAGACUCUUCCUUGAAUUCAAAGAAUGGAUACAAAUACAUUCUUAUAAUUAAUAAUUAUAAUUAAUAAUUAUAAGAACUGUUGGGAAUUCUCAACCACUGUUUAGGAAUAUUUUAAUUGCAGGGAUUGGGAAUUCUCAGCCACUGGUUAGGAAUAUUUUAAUUGCAGAGGUAUUAUUUAAAUCAAGCAAUUACUGUUAAUCAGCUGGUAAGGUAGGAUGAGCAGCAGGAAGUGAGGCAGGAGUGAAUUCAGAGAUAGCUUUCUUCAUCAGUGUUGCCUUUGAUCUUGAUGUCUAAGUGGUGGGGGCAGUGCUCCUGGGUUGGCAUUGCUAGGAAGAUUGGAGAGUUGCCUUUGUAGUGUCCUACUAAUGGAAAAAAAAAUCGUCUAGAUCAGUGUUUCCCAACCAUGGUAACUUCACGAUGUGUGUGGACUUCAACUCUCAGAGUUAGCAUGCCAUCCAAAUUCUGGGAGUUGAACUCCACUCCUGAGAACACUGAUCAAGAUAACACUUCUGGUUGACUGAGUUUCGGGUCAUACUAGAACACAGGUGUCAAACUUGCGAUGUCACCUUGCCGUCACAUGAUGUUUCAUGAUGUUUUUUCCAUUCACGGAGCUGGGAUGGGCGUGGCCUGCGUGUACCGCAUCCGGCCCAUGGGCCACCAGUUUAACAUCCCUGACUAGAAGAUACCAGGUUGAAAAAAAAAUGCCAUUUUUAAAAAGUAUAUUAUAAAAGCACAGUACAUGUUCCCAAGAUGCCAUGUUUUUUUCAGGCUUUAGCAAUGCUGUCAGGCUCUAAUGUAUACAUUGUGAGCAGAACUGCUAAGUUUAUAGUUAAGGCCUUUGAGCUAAGAACUCGUUAUAUCAAACAGAUUGGGAUUCUUGUAAGGUGAUGUAUUUAUCUGAAUGCUGAUUCUUUUUUAUUUACCACAUUAAUUUUUAUUAAUUUAUGUAUUUUAUUACUGAAUUUUCUUUUAUUUAUUUUACUCUGGAAUGAUAUCCUAUAUUUUAUUUUUAUUUUAUCUGUUGAUGUGAUUGUAAGACUGAUCACUUAAUAAACUAC
This is a long non-coding RNA of Ahaetulla prasina, 4043 nucleotides long. RefSeq lists it as uncharacterized. NCBI's taxonomy places the organism in Eukaryota, Metazoa, Chordata, Lepidosauria, Squamata, Colubridae. The record is from RefSeq and is a predicted model, not a curated record. The transcript is spliced from 3 exons.